UACGGAGGGUGCAAGCGUUAUCCGGAAUCAUUGGGUUUAAAGGGUCCGCAGGCGGAUUUAUAAGUCAGUGGUGAAAGCCCGUUGCUCAACAACGGAACUGCCAUUGAUACUGUAAGUCUUGAAUUCGGUCGAAGUGGGCGGAAUAUGACAUGUAGCGGUGAAAUGCUUAGAUAUGACACAGAACACCGAUUGCGAAGGCAGCUCUCAAAACUGUAACUGACGCUGAGGCACGAAAGCGUGGGUAUCAAACAGG
Molecule: ribosomal RNA, 253 nt
Filed under: uncultured prokaryote
Description: partial 16S ribosomal RNA
Rfam family: Bacterial small subunit ribosomal RNA
Source: RNAcentral